AUGAAUGACAAGCUUGGAUCUUUGGUACUGAGACAUGGAGCAGAUCCAGAUCAGCAGGAAACUAAGCAAGAAGAAAUAAAUAACAGGACAAAUGACAGGCUCAUCACUGCGUCUUCCAGGGAGCUUUGUCUAUCAAAUCAUCCAGGUAAGAGUGAGUGUUCUGUCUUUGGAAGUGGGUUGCCCACUGCUGCUAGCACUUGUACAACACUACAAAACCCAAGUAGGAUCCGAAUGCCAACAGCUAAUUCUAACAAUGUUUGGUUUUGAUUUGUCAGGAGACACAGCUAAACAGUCCUAAGGUAGUGGGGAAGUGGCAAAGUGCCACUGUAAGUAUGCCCACUGUGACUCAAGGUCCAUGAGCUAGGAGUGACCUUUACCUCAUCCUGACAUCCUGAACCUGCAGCAAUGUCUUUGCACCUGGUCAAGUUCUUUAGGUCUAGAUUGGAACUGAGCUCUCCUUUCUCACAAGGGAGUCUUGGGAAGGACAGCCAAAGACAGAAAACACAAUAGGACUCGGAUGUUGCCAGCUGGUGAGUGUCCUACCAGAAGUCCAUCGAGGCUGAGCCUGGUGGCUUGUGGGCCUUGACAGUCCUGAUGGAAUGGGAGGGGACAGUCCCUGAAAAUGGUAGCAUUUGGGGGAGAUGUUCCCUAUCCCGCUACAGACUGUCAGUUUGCACCUUCUUUCUUAGGGAUGCUCUUAAAUGAACAGUUGGAAAAAAAACCUUACUGUGAGGUCUCUGAAGAGAGAAGUAGACCUCUGGCUUGGUUUUGUGAAGUUACUAGAAGAAAUAGAGAGAGGGGGAUGCAUAUCCAUACUUUUUUUUUUUUUUUUGUCAUGUAGGAGCACAAGAAACUCCAAACACUAGACCUUGUCACACAGGACAGUAACAGGAUUAAAAAAGAAAAAAAAAAGUGGGGUGUGUAAUUACUGAUGUACUACAAGGAGAAUGUUUACUGGAUGUCAUAACAAACUGCAUCUUUAGGUUAUUAUUCUACUUAACAACAGGACCAUCAGUGCUUAUUAAUUUAGCAGUUUGUUUCAGCUAAUGCUUUCAAGAUCUAUUUCCUGCAAAUUAGGAACACAUGUGUUACUGUGGGAAUAUAGAAGAAAGUAUCUAUUUAGACAACCAUAUUUUCAUUUUGGGCUCCUUUCACUUUGAAUUAAAUAUAAAUGAGUGCUAAAAGAUACCAUUUCAUGCCAUAUGAGGCUGACGACAGAAAUCCUGUCUCAGAGUGGUUAUUACUUUUUGAUUAUGGCUUUUGUAGU
This 1267-nucleotide long non-coding RNA is filed under the name Manacus vitellinus (golden-collared manakin). RNAcentral describes it as "lncRNA (ENSMVIG00005000196.1)". Lineage: Eukaryota; Metazoa; Chordata; Aves; Passeriformes; Pipridae. The record is from RNAcentral.